This 70-nucleotide transfer RNA is filed under the name Marmota monax (woodchuck). RNAcentral's name for it is "tRNA.Ala". Lineage: Eukaryota; Metazoa; Chordata; Mammalia; Rodentia; Sciuridae. The record is from RNAcentral.
UGAGUGUAGCUUGGUGGAAGAGUGCUUGCCUAGCAUGCACAAGGUCCUGGGUUCACUCCCAGCAUCUCAA